This 23-nucleotide non-coding RNA is filed under the name Arabidopsis thaliana (thale cress). The record is from RNAcentral. Lineage: Eukaryota; Viridiplantae; Streptophyta; Magnoliopsida; Brassicales; Brassicaceae.
AAGGGUGAGGUCUUGGGUUUGAG